CUAUUCCUUGCCCCUCCCGCCUAUAUACCGCCGUCGCCAGCUUACCCUGUGAAGGUAUCGCAGUAAGCAAAACGGGCAAUGCCCAGAACGUCAGGUCGAGGUGUAGCGCACGAAAUAGGAAGAAAUGGGCUACAUUAUCUGAAGCAGAUUAUUCACGGAAGGUUACCUGAAAUUGGUAGCCCAAAGGUGGAUUUAGCAGUAAGGGGAGAAUAGAGCGCCCCCCUGAAGCCGGCUCUGAAGCGCGCACACACCGCCCGUCACUCUCCCCAACAACACCCACACCAGGUAAUUAACACAAUAACAGCCACAAGGGGAGGCAAGUCGUAACAUGGUAAGUGUACCGGAAGGUGCACUUGGAAUAA
Molecule: ribosomal RNA, 362 nt
Filed under: Anodontostoma chacunda (Chacunda gizzard shad)
Lineage: Eukaryota; Metazoa; Chordata; Actinopteri; Clupeiformes; Clupeidae
Description: partial 12S ribosomal RNA
Rfam family: Bacterial small subunit ribosomal RNA
Source: RNAcentral